UACGUAGGGUGCGAGCGUUAAUCGGAAUAACUGGGCGUAAAGGGUGAGUAGGCGGAAUUAUAAGUUAGUAGUGAAAUACCCGGGCUUAACCUGGGAGGUGCUAUUAAGACUGUAGAUCUAGAGUACGUGAGAGGGGGUAGGAAUUCCAAGUGUAGCAGUGAAAUGCGUAGAGAUUUGGAGGAACACCGAUGGCGAAGGCAUACCCCUGGCAUGAUACUGACGCUGAGUCACGAAAGCGUGGGUAGCAAACAGG
This 253-nucleotide ribosomal RNA is filed under the name uncultured bacterium. RNAcentral's name for it is "partial 16S ribosomal RNA". It matches the Rfam family "Bacterial small subunit ribosomal RNA", at positions 524 to 776 of the family's 1533-position model. The record is from RNAcentral.